Molecule: ribosomal RNA, 301 nt
Filed under: uncultured bacterium
Lineage: Bacteria
Description: partial 16S ribosomal RNA
Rfam family: Bacterial small subunit ribosomal RNA
Source: RNAcentral
CAGCAGCCGCGGUAAUACGGAGGGUGCAAGCGUUAAUCGGAAUUACUGGGCGUAAAGCGUGCGCAGGCGGUUAUAUAAGACAGAUGUGAAAUCCCCGGGCUCAACCUGGGAACUGCAUUUGUGACUGUAUAGCUAGAGUACGGCAGAGGGGGAUGGAAUUCCGCGUGUAGCAGUGAAAUGCGUAGAUAUGCGGAGGAACACCGAUGGCGAAGGCAAUCCCCUGGGCCUGUACUGACGCUCAUGCACGAAAGCGUGGGGAGCAAACAGGAUUAGAUACCCGCGUAGUCCCUGUCUCUUAUAC